RNAcentral lists this ribosomal RNA (516 nucleotides) under Clostridioides difficile. Its description in RNAcentral is "bacterial LSU rRNA". It matches the Rfam family "Bacterial large subunit ribosomal RNA", at positions 669 to 1185 of the family's 2925-position model. Lineage: Bacteria; Bacillati; Bacillota; Clostridia; Peptostreptococcales; Peptostreptococcaceae. The record is from RNAcentral.
UAGCGAAAGCGAGUUUUAACUGAGCGUUCAGUUACUUGACGUAGACCCGAAACCGGGCGACCUACCCAUGAGCAGGAGGAAGCGAAAGUAAAAUUUCGUGGAGGUCCGAACCCACGAGCGUUGAAAAGCUCGGGGAUGACUUGUGGGUAGCGGUGAAAUUCCAAUCGAGCCCGGAGAUAGCUGGUUCUCCCCGAAAUAGCUUUAGGGCUAGCCUCAAGGUGAGAGAUACGGAGGUAGAGCACUGAAUGUCCUAGGGGGUAUUGCACCUACCGAAGACUAUCAAACUCCGAAUGCCGUCAUCUUAUACUUGGGAGUCAGACUGUGGGUGAUAAGAUUCAUAGUCGAAAGGGCAACAGCCCAGAUCGUCAGCUAAGGUCCCUAAAUGUAAGUUAAGUGGUAAAGGAUGUGGGAUUGCACAGACAACCAGGAUGUUGGCUUAGAAGCAGCCACUCAUUCAAAGAGUGCGUAAUAGCUCACUGGUCGAGUGAUCCUGCGCCGAAGAUUUCCGGGGCUAAA